This 253-nucleotide ribosomal RNA is filed under the name uncultured bacterium. Its description in RNAcentral is "partial 16S ribosomal RNA". It matches the Rfam family "Bacterial small subunit ribosomal RNA", at positions 524 to 776 of the family's 1533-position model. The record is from RNAcentral.
GACGUAGGGGGCGAGCGUUGCCCGGAUUCACUGGGCGUAAAGCGGGUGUAGGCGGUCUCUUAAGUCGGAUGUGAAAUCCUGCGGCCUAACCGCGGAACUGCAUCCGAUACUGGGAGACUUGAGGACGGUAGAGGUCGGUGGAAUUCCCGGUGUACCGGUGAAAUGGACAGAUAUCGGGAGGAACACCAGUGGCGAAGGCGGCCGACUGGGCCGAUCCUGACGCUGAGACCCGAAAGCCAGGGUAGCGAACCGG